CUUUGCUGGCGACCGGCGCACGGUGAGUACACGUAUCAACCUGCCCUUUACUCGGGGAUAGCCUUUCGAAAGAAAGAUUAAUACCCGAUAGCAUAAUGAUUCCGCAUGGUUUCAUUAUUAAAGGAUUCCGGUAAAGGAUGGGGAUGCGUUCCAUUAGGUUGUUGGUGAGGUAACGGCUCACCAAGCCUUCGAUGGAUAGGGGUUCUGAGAGGAAGGUCCCCCACAUUGGAACUGAGACACGGUCCAA
This 247-nucleotide ribosomal RNA is filed under the name uncultured bacterium. RNAcentral's name for it is "partial 16S ribosomal RNA". It matches the Rfam family "Bacterial small subunit ribosomal RNA", at positions 83 to 334 of the family's 1533-position model. The record is from RNAcentral.